This 657-nucleotide ribosomal RNA is filed under the name Triticum aestivum (bread wheat). RNAcentral describes it as "partial small subunit ribosomal RNA". Lineage: Eukaryota; Viridiplantae; Streptophyta; Magnoliopsida; Poales; Poaceae. The record is from RNAcentral.
AUGCCGGGCCUCACCAUCGGCGACACCGUCCCCAACCUGGAGCUGGACUCCACCCAUGGCAAGAUCCGCAUCCACGACUACGUCGGCAACGGCUACGUCAUCCUCUUCUCCCACCCCGGUGAUUUCACCCCGGUGUGCACGACGGAGCUGGCGGCCAUGGCCAACUACGCCAAGGAGUUCGAGAAGCGGGGCGUGAAGCUGCUCGGCAUCUCCUGCGACGACGUGCAGUCCCACAAGGAGUGGACCAAGGACAUCGAGGCCUACAAGCCUGGGAGCAGGGUGACGUACCCGAUCAUGGCGGACCCGGACCGCUCCGCCAUCAAGCAGCUCAACAUGGUCGACCCGGACGAGAAGGACGGCCAGGGGCAGCUGCCGUCCCGCACCCUGCACAUCGUGGGGCCGGACAAGGUGGUGAAGCUGAGCUUCCUGUACCCGUCGUGCACGGGGCGGAACAUGGACGAGGUGGUGCGGGCCGUGGACUCGCUGCUGACGGCGGCCAAGCACAAGGUGGCCACCCCGGCCAACUGGAAGCCCGGGGAGUGCGUGGUGAUCGCGCCCGGCGUCUCCGACGAGGAGGCCAAGAAGAUGUUCCCGCAGGGGUUCGAGACCGCCGACCUGCCCUCCAAGAAGGGGUACCUCCGCUUCACCAAGGUCUAG